CACAAUGCUCAUCAUGACAUCAUAGCGUUUCCUAGGAGGACCAGGUCUAUGCCUGUGUACUUGCACACUCAUUUGUGAGUUGGAUCAUGGAUCAUGGCAGGUUUGGGAACAAAACUCGUGUGGCUGAGGUCAAAGAAAUUAUUAUGUCUGCGCAUUCUUGGCAGAUGCUUGGGGAGCUGUGCAGAGCUUUCUUCUUUUGCAAAGCAAAGCGAAGGCGUGGCCCAGUUUCUACUUCUAUGCACAUCUACUGAAGACAGUGCAGAGCUCAUCUUGCUUCCACACCACAUCCAGGUGCAGUUCAAUGGUUCUGGCUGUGCAUCACCUAAAUAAAACCAAAGGCACAGUUUGGCUUGAUGCCUGCAGCCUACAAUUAAAAUAAGUGACAUGAAGGUGUCUUUAAAACAGAGAUCCAUGGAAAAUGAAAGGAUUGUCUGUCAAAGGGUGAGAAAUGAAAAAUAGCCGUCUCAGAUCUCUGAAUGGAUGAGUGAGGAAAAUUCCUGUCCGUCCCAGUACCCAAAGGGAUAAAACCCAAUGAUAGCU
Molecule: long non-coding RNA, 540 nt
Filed under: Coturnix japonica (Japanese quail)
Lineage: Eukaryota; Metazoa; Chordata; Aves; Galliformes; Phasianidae
Description: lncRNA (ENSCJPG00005004936.1)
Source: RNAcentral